CAAAAAAAAAAGUGUAAUUGUUGGAGGGAAUAUACAUAUUGCUAGAGCUUGAUAAACAGUUGUGUACGGAUCAAUUGGAUUAGUUGUUUAUUGGUGCAUUUUGAAGCAUUGAACGUAUCAAUUUGAGCUGAGUUUUGAUUCCAUUUGUUGCUCUGUAAUGCCUGAUUGAUGUUUAUUCGUUUCUAUUGAAGAGAAGUCAUUUAAAGCUCACUUUUCUGUGUCUUAUUUCAUGUUAAUUUGUAUUUGAAUUUAGUGGUGUUACUUUACCAAAUUGGUAAUUUCAGCUGUUCAUAUUUAUUCCAUUGCCCUAAUUAAUGAAUACUUCCUUUUUCUCUAUCCCACUGAAGGUAUGAGCUUGGAAGGCAGCCUG
This 370-nucleotide unclassified non-coding RNA is filed under the name Hevea brasiliensis (rubber tree). Lineage: Eukaryota; Viridiplantae; Streptophyta; Magnoliopsida; Malpighiales; Euphorbiaceae. The record is from RNAcentral.